UCGCACCUACCGAUUGAAUGGUCCGGUGAAGCCUCGGGAUUGUGGCUAGUUCACUUUAUUGGGAGUUCGUCGUGAGAACUUGUCUAAACCUUAUCAUUUAGAGGAAGGUG
This 110-nucleotide ribosomal RNA is filed under the name uncultured eukaryote. RNAcentral's name for it is "partial small subunit ribosomal RNA". It matches the Rfam family "Eukaryotic small subunit ribosomal RNA", at positions 1676 to 1785 of the family's 1831-position model. The record is from RNAcentral.